Molecule: transfer RNA, 74 nt
Filed under: Candidatus Levyibacteriota bacterium
Lineage: Bacteria; Candidatus Levyibacteriota
Description: tRNA-Arg
Rfam family: tRNA
About the family: Transfer RNA (tRNA) molecules are approximately 80 nucleotides in length. Their secondary structure includes four short double-helical elements and three loops (D, anti-codon, and T loops). Further hydrogen bonds mediate the characteristic L-shaped molecular structure. tRNAs have two regions of fundamental functional importance: the anti-codon, which is responsible for specific mRNA codon recognition, and the 3' end, to which the tRNAs corresponding amino acid is attached (by aminoacyl-tRNA synthetases). tRNAs cope with the degeneracy of the genetic code in two manners: having more than one tRNA (with a specific anti-codon) for a particular amino acid; and 'wobble' base-pairing, i.e. permitting non-standard base-pairing at the 3rd anti-codon position.
Source: RNAcentral
GCGCCUGUAGCUCAGUUGGAUAGAGCGCAAGAUUCCGGAUCUUGAGGUCGAAGGUUCGAAUCCUUUCAGGCGUA